RNAcentral lists this unclassified non-coding RNA (704 nucleotides) under Daphnia pulicaria. RNAcentral describes it as "uncharacterized LOC124326603, transcript variant X1". The record is from RNAcentral. Lineage: Eukaryota; Metazoa; Arthropoda; Branchiopoda; Diplostraca; Daphniidae.
UCCAUCCAUUAGAUCCUCAUGCUGUGAAAAGCCUAAAACUCAUGUUUGAAGCACACAUAUAGUAGAUACAAAUAUGUGCGGAGAUAAGGUAUUUUGCUAUUACUGCUACCACACCAACCACACUGAUGUCGUUCAAAUGCCUUACUAAAUCAUCACCCUUAUGAUAAAGAAAAUUUAUCCCACCUGAGAAGUAUAAUGCAGUUGGUUGCUGUAAUUCCAUUAUUGCGGUUUUUCAUCAUGAACAUUUUAGUGUGCAUCUUAGAAAAUAGCACGCAAGAUCCCCACGGACAUCCUUGAGCCAAUGCUGGAUUUUGUCCAUGACAGAAGAGGGACUUCCACCAACAUUCUGCUCCAUCCUUAUCUUCAAGACUUCAAGACGUACGUUCAUCCAGCUUCACUACUUCAGUGUUUCUUAUCUGCUAGCCUGCUACACAACUUUUCUUGCUUAACUGGCGAGUUGGAUCACUUCAGUUGCUGUGACACACCUGUACAGUCACUCACCACGGGAUUAUGGCCAGGUAAUGCAGAGGAGACGUCGAGAAGAUGGAUUUUCUCAUCUUUAACAAUCGUCACCAGUCUCUGUCGGAUGUUACCCCUGCUCCUGGUGCGAACGAAACUCGGUGGAAUCGCGACCGACACCGAGACUCGUCAUCACCGUGGAUCAUCGUAUUGUUGGUAUUAUUGCGUUAGUGUUAGUUAACCCG